Molecule: ribosomal RNA, 386 nt
Filed under: uncultured Spirochaeta sp.
Lineage: Bacteria; Pseudomonadati; Spirochaetota; Spirochaetia; Spirochaetales; Spirochaetaceae
Description: bacterial SSU rRNA
Rfam family: Bacterial small subunit ribosomal RNA
Source: RNAcentral
GUUGUUAGAGAUACAGCAGCCGCUUGCGGUCUGUAUACAGGUGCUGCAUGGCUGUCGUCAGCUCGUGCUGUGAAGUGUUGGUUAAGUCCCGCAACGAGCGCAACCCCUAUCAUCUGUUGCCAGCAUUUUAAGGUUGGGGACGUCAGAUGGGACUGCCGGUGACAAACCGGAGGAAGGUGGGACGACGUCAAGUCAUCAUGGCCCUUAUGUCCUGGGCUACACACGUGCUACAAUGGCCGGUACAGAGUGAAGCGAAACCGCGAGGUGAAGCAAAACGCAGAAAGCCGGUCUCAGUACGGAUUGGAGUCUGAAACUCGACUUCAUGAAGCUGGAAUCGCUAGUAAUCGCAGAUCAGCCAAGCUGCGGUGAAUACGUUCCCGGGCCUU